GAUGAACGCUGGCGGCGUGCCUAAUACAUGCAAGUCGAGCGAACAGACGAGGAGCUUGCUCCUCUGACGUUAGCGGCGGACGGGUGAGUAACACGUGGAUAACCUACCUAUAAGACUGGGAUAACUUCGGGAAACCGGAUCUAAUACCGGAUAAUAUAUUGAACCGCAUGGUUCAAUAGUGAAAUACGGUUUUGCUGUCACUUAUAGAUGGAUCCGCGCCUCAUUAGCUAGUUGGUAAGGUAACGGCUUAUCAAGGCAACGAUGCGUAGCCGACAUGAGAGGGUGAUCGGCCACACUGGAACUGAGACACGGUCCAGACUCCUACGGGAGGCAGCAGUAGGGAAUCUUCCGCAAUGGGCGAAAGCUUGACGGAGAAACGCCGCGUGAGUGAUGAAGGUCUUCGGAUCGUAAAACUCUGUUAUUAGGGAAGAACAAAUGUGUAAGUAACUAUGCACGUCUUGACGGUAACUAAUCAGAAAGCCACGGCUAACUACGUG
RNAcentral lists this ribosomal RNA (497 nucleotides) under uncultured bacterium. RNAcentral's name for it is "partial 16S ribosomal RNA". It matches the Rfam family "Bacterial small subunit ribosomal RNA", at positions 28 to 507 of the family's 1533-position model. The record is from RNAcentral.